Sorex fumeus (smoky shrew) is the source of this 188-nucleotide small nuclear RNA. RefSeq annotates it as U2 spliceosomal RNA. The transcript has a single exon. The record is from RefSeq and is a predicted model, not a curated record. Lineage: Eukaryota; Metazoa; Chordata; Mammalia; Eulipotyphla; Soricidae.
AUCACUUGUUGGAUUUUGGCUAAGAUUAAGUGUAGAAUCUGUUCUUAUAAGUUUAACAUUGCUACAUCCUCUAUCCAAGGAUAAUAUAUUAAAUGGAUUUUUGGAGCAGGGAAAUGGAAUAGGCGCUUGCUCCAUUCACCUGACACAUAGACCUGCAUUACAGUACCUCCAGGAAAGGUUAAAAAAAA